Molecule: long non-coding RNA, 421 nt
Filed under: Ananas comosus (pineapple)
Lineage: Eukaryota; Viridiplantae; Streptophyta; Magnoliopsida; Poales; Bromeliaceae
Description: long non-coding RNA (ACOM_LNC023852)
Source: RNAcentral
CAAAUCCAUUUUUACUCUUCCCAAGAUUUUAAUAUUCAUGAUUUGAUAGGAUAGUAUAUUUUAUUUACACGAUAAUUUAUUUUAUUCAAAAAUUAAUUUGAAAGCUGAAUAUAAUGUCUAAUUUUAAAUGUUUAACCACACUUCUCACCUACCAAAUAUACGAAUUUAUCAAAUCCCACCGCUCAAUAUAAUUUUCUAAAUAUUAACAAAUUAUCAAUGUAAAAUCAAAUAUAAUAUCUUAAUUACUAUCGCAUCAUUAAUCACAAUAUUUAUACAUUACUUCUAUAUUAACAAUUUGAUGAUAUUUAGCGAACUAAAUUAGAUUAUAGUUUUAAUUAUAAUAUAAUUUAAAAAAUUUGAGCCAAAAAUUACAACGAAUGAGAGUUUGAGGACCAAAAUAUCACACUCCUCUUAGUUUGUG